Orcinus orca (killer whale) is the source of this 924-nucleotide long non-coding RNA. RefSeq lists it as uncharacterized. The record is from RefSeq and is a predicted model, not a curated record. NCBI's taxonomy places the organism in Eukaryota, Metazoa, Chordata, Mammalia, Artiodactyla, Delphinidae. The transcript has 4 exons.
UAGGUACCGGAGCAAGUAAGUGCUCUUCAGCGUGAGUGAUGUAAACGAAAUGAAAUGAAUGGAACUGACCACAUGGAGAUGGCAGAAGGAAAGCACCUUCGUUAUAUAAAAAAGAAACCUGAGCCCCUCCUGCUGCUGCUACAGCAGCUUCGUCCAAUAAAAACAGGCCCUGUUCCAGCUGCUAACAAGAGCCCAAGGGUGUGGAGAGGUCACCAGCUCCCAGAGAGACUGCUAAAACCCCGGGGUCAAAAGCUGAUGGGGGAGAAAUACAGCUGAAAAUGGAAAAUUCAAUUAUAUUUCUGAUGCUGCUUGAAUUCCCAGGGAAACUCACUAGAGGCAUCAGAGAUUUGGUCUACGGUGGCUUCUGUUUCUGGAACAGUGGUUUGCCCUGUGACGUCAAUUCUCUGUUGAAUCUAAGAAGAGCUGUCGAUUUUAGUUUGUUCGGCUUUCUUCUUGUGUGGACAGGAGUGAUGACGUUCUAGCUCCUUACAUGCCCAACUGGAAACUGGAAGUUGUCAUGUAAGACUUUCCAUGGCUUUCUCCUGUCCUUCUCCAUGACCAGAUAGCACAUAUGUGAUCUGAAACUUUAAGAAAAUCCCAGUGCCUCAGCGUCAUUGUCACAAGUGUGGUAUAAAAAUAGUUGUCAUUUCUAGCUAAGACGUGUCACAGUUUGGGAAUUUGUAUUCCUUAUAUGAUUUACAAAUCUAUUUCUUCUCCAAGUUUAAUGUAUGUUAUAAUAGCAAUGCAUGUAAAAUGUAAUAGCUGCAAAAUAUUUAUGAAAUUAAAACGUGUUUGGUGGGGGCUUCCCUGGUGGCACAGUGGUUGAGAGUCUGCCUGCCGAUGCGGGGGACACGGGUUCGUGCCCCGGUCCGGGAAGAUCCCACAUGCCACAGAGCGGCUGGGCCCGUGAGCCAUGGCCGCUGG